GGGAACCAACCGGAAUUAAUUCCCUGGUUAUCCCCCCCCUUAACCAAUAAUGGCUAGUGGUAAGGGUUUCUCCACCCCUGAUGGCUAAAUUUACCCCUUUAACCUUCCCCCCGGGGAAUUCCGGCCCCAGAAUGGAACUCCAAAGAAUUUGCCGGGACCCCCCCCAACCGUGGAAUCUGGUGUUUUAUUCCAAACCACCCCAAAAACCCU
RNAcentral lists this ribosomal RNA (210 nucleotides) under Paenibacillus illinoisensis. RNAcentral describes it as "partial 16S ribosomal RNA". The record is from RNAcentral. Lineage: Bacteria; Bacillati; Bacillota; Bacilli; Caryophanales; Paenibacillaceae.